CAGAUGGGUUGUGUUCAUAAGCAGUAACAGGUUGUGCGAGUGGACAAGGUGGUGGUCUAGGUGGGCUGUUUUCAUCUGGAGCAAUUGGUGUUCGCCAGGCAGGUCUUGGUGGAAGUCUAGGCGAUGGUUUAGGUUUGCGAGGUCAAAUUUCAGAUUGAUUGUUUUCAUCCAGAGUAACAGAUGAUCCAGGUAGUGAUCCAGGGUGGCAGGGUGCUAUUCCAGGUGAGUUGUUUUUAGCUGGAGUAAACCGUAAUGGCAGGGGGUGUCCUGAAGGUGGUCCAGGUGGUGGGGUAGGUUGGUAAUUUGGUGUCCAGGUGGUUUUCAUCCAGGAAAAUAGGUGGCUGUACUGGUGUCUGGUAUUAUUGGUCUGGGUGGCUAAUUGGGAUAUGAAAUAGAAUGUGGUCCAAAUGGUGGCCCAGCCUGAAAAGUGAUAAAGUAUUAUCCCACUUGGUUUU
Long non-coding RNA from Syngnathus acus (greater pipefish), 455 nucleotides. RefSeq lists it as uncharacterized. The transcript is spliced from 3 exons. Lineage: Eukaryota; Metazoa; Chordata; Actinopteri; Syngnathiformes; Syngnathidae. The record is from RefSeq and is a predicted model, not a curated record.